GAUGAACGCUGGCGGCGUGCCUAAUACAUGCAAGUCGAGCGAACGGACGAGAAGCUUGCUUCUCUGAUGUUAGCGGCGGACGGGUGAGUAACACGUGGAUAACCUACCUAUAAGACUGGGAUAACUUCGGGAAACCGUAGCUAAUACCGGAUAAUAUUUUGAACCGCAUGGUUCAAAAGUGAAAGACGGUCUUGCUGUCACUUAUAGAUGGAUCCGCGCUGCAUUAGCUAGUUGGUAAGGUAACGGCUUACCAAGGGAACGAGGCAUAGCCGACCUGAGAGGGUGUUCGGCCACACUGAAACUGAAACACGUUCCAGCCCCCUACGGGAGCAAGCAGUAGGGAAUCUUCCGCAAGGGGCGAAAGCCUGACGGGCCAACGCGCGGUAGUUGAUGAAGUUCUUCGAAUCGUAAAACUCUUUUAUUAGGGAAGAACAAAUGUGUAAUUACCGGUGCACAUCUUGACGGUACCUAAUCAGAAGCCACGGCUAACUACGUG
This 496-nucleotide ribosomal RNA is filed under the name uncultured bacterium. RNAcentral's name for it is "partial 16S ribosomal RNA". It matches the Rfam family "Bacterial small subunit ribosomal RNA", at positions 28 to 507 of the family's 1533-position model. The record is from RNAcentral.